GGAAUCCUUUUAUAUCCUUCUGGUUGCCAGAUUGUAUAUGACAAUUUCACUAAUUGAUGAAUAAACUUGGUGUUUGACAGAGCAAAUCCUGUCCAGGCUGGAUCUCAAGCUGAGUUUUCCCAAUGGUUAUGCCAUGCGCACAAUGUUGUUAACAGAAGCCUAGGUAAGCUGGUAUUCCCCUGUGAGCGAGUAGAUGCAAGGUGGGGGAAGAUGGAGUGUGAGCAGCGCGCGUGCGAUCUACAAGGAACUACGACAUUUUUUGGCGACAAUAUGCGUUAGAACUAUGUUUGUAAUUUGAAUAUACAGGAAAUUACCAAAUUAUGGAUAUCAGUGUUUAAUUGAUGAGAUAUAUUGUACAUGGAAAUUACCAGAUUUUUGUUUUCCCUAUGCCCUCAGUCCUGUACCAUCACUCUGUAUUGGUAAUUUAUGAUAAAAAAAUAUUUGUAACUUUUUAAAUCACAUGUAAUAAACUGUAUUUUAAGAAAA
Non-coding RNA from Camellia sinensis, 486 nucleotides. The record is from RefSeq and is a predicted model, not a curated record. Lineage: Eukaryota; Viridiplantae; Streptophyta; Magnoliopsida; Ericales; Theaceae.